AUGAACGUUGGCGGCGUGGAUUAGGCAUGCAAGUCGUACGGACCAGGGUAGCAAUAUUCUGGUUAGUGGCGAAAGGGAGAGUAACGCGUGGAUUAUCUGCCCCCGGGACCGGGAUAGCUGCGGGAAACUGCAGGUAAUACCGGAUGACGUCUCCGGACCAAAGGUGUGAUUCCGCCAGGGGAUGAGUCCGCGUCCUAUCAGCUUGUUGGCGGGGUAACGGCCCACCAAGGCGAUGACGGGUACGGGGUGUGAGAGCAUGCCCCCGCUCACUGGGACUGAGACACUGCCCAGACACCUACGGGUGGCUGCAGUCGAGGAUCUUCGGCAAUGGGCGCAAGCCUGACCGAGCGACGCCGCGUGCGGGAUGAAGGCCUUCGGGUUGUAAACCGCUGUCAGGGGGGAGGAAGGUCCGGUGCAGAGCCGGGUUUGACCUAUCCCCAGAGGAAGUGUGGGCUAAGUCCGU
RNAcentral lists this ribosomal RNA (463 nucleotides) under uncultured bacterium. RNAcentral's name for it is "bacterial SSU rRNA". It matches the Rfam family "Bacterial small subunit ribosomal RNA", at positions 29 to 506 of the family's 1533-position model. The record is from RNAcentral.